GGAGAGGUGCGUGAGUGGUUUAAACGGGCGGUCUUGAAAACCGCUGUACCCUAACGGGUACCGGGGGUUCGAAUCCCUCCCUCUCCGCCA
RNAcentral lists this transfer RNA (90 nucleotides) under Acidobacteriota bacterium. Its description in RNAcentral is "tRNA-Ser". It matches the Rfam family "tRNA". From Rfam's summary of the family: Transfer RNA (tRNA) molecules are approximately 80 nucleotides in length. The record is from RNAcentral. Lineage: Bacteria; Pseudomonadati; Acidobacteriota.